UCACCAAGGCGACGAUCAGUAGCUGGUCUGAGAGGAUGAUCAGCCACAUUGGGACUGAGACACGGCCCAAACUCCUACGGGAGGCAGCAGUGGGGAAUCUUGCGCAAUGGGCGAAAGCCUGACGCAGCCAUGCCGCGUGAAUGAUGAAGGUCUUAGGAUUGUAAAAUUCUUUCACCGGGGACGAUAAUGACGGUACCCGGAGAAGAAGCCCCGGCUAACUUCGUGCCAGCAGCCGCGGUAAUACGAAGGGGGCUAGCGUUGCUCGGAAUUACUGGGCGUAAAGGGAGCGUAGGCGGACAUUUAAGUCAGGGGUGAAAUCCCGGGGCUCAACCUCGGAAUUGCCUUUGAUACUGGGUGUCUUGAGUAUGAGAGAGGUGUGUGGAACUCCGAGUGUAGAGGUGAAAUUCGUAGAUAUUCGGAAGAACACCAGUGGCGAAGGCGACACACUGGCUCAUUACUGACGCUGAGGCUCGAAAGCGUGGGGAGCAAACAGGAUUAGAUACCCUGGUACUCCACGCCGUAAACGAUGAUUGCUAGUUGUCGGGAUGCAUGCAUUUCGG
This 560-nucleotide ribosomal RNA is filed under the name Caulobacteraceae bacterium. RNAcentral's name for it is "bacterial SSU rRNA". It matches the Rfam family "Bacterial small subunit ribosomal RNA", at positions 265 to 843 of the family's 1533-position model. Lineage: Bacteria; Pseudomonadati; Pseudomonadota; Alphaproteobacteria; Caulobacterales; Caulobacteraceae. The record is from RNAcentral.